AAGUCGAACGAAACACCUUAUUUGAUUUUCUUCGGAACUGAAGAUUUGGUGAUUGAGUGGCGGACGGGUGAGUAACGCGUGGGUAACCUACCCUGUACAGGGGGAUAACAGUCAGAAAUGACUGCUAAUACCGCAUAAGACCACAGCACCGCAUGGUGCAGGGGUAAAAACUCCGGUGGUACAGGAUGGACCCGCGUCUGAUUAGCUGGUUGGUGAGGUAACGGCUCACCAAGGCGACGAUCAGUAGCCGGCUUGAGAGAGUGAACGGCCACAUUGGGACUGAGACACGGCCCAAACUCCUACGGGAGGCAGCAGUGGGGAAUAUUGCACAAUGGGGGAAACCCUGAUGCAGCGACGCCGCGUGAGUGAAGAAGUAUCUCGGUAUGUAAAGCUCUAUCAGCAGGGAAGAAAAUGACGGUACCUGACUAAGAAGCCCCGGCUAACUACGUGCCAGCAGCCGCGGUAAUACGUAGGGGGCAAGCGUUAUCCGGAAUUACUGGGUGUAAAGGGUGCGUAGGUGGUAUGGCAAGUCAGAAGUGAAAACCCAGGGCUUAACUCUGGGACUGCUUUUGAAACUGUCAGACUGGAGUGCAGGAGAGGUAAGCGGAAUUCCUAGUGUAGCGGUGAAAUGCGUAGAUAUUAGGAGGAACAUCAGUGGCGAAGGCGGCUUA
Molecule: ribosomal RNA, 671 nt
Filed under: uncultured Lachnospiraceae bacterium
Lineage: Bacteria; Bacillati; Bacillota; Clostridia; Lachnospirales; Lachnospiraceae
Description: bacterial SSU rRNA
Rfam family: Bacterial small subunit ribosomal RNA
Source: RNAcentral